RNAcentral lists this ribosomal RNA (253 nucleotides) under uncultured bacterium. RNAcentral describes it as "partial 16S ribosomal RNA". It matches the Rfam family "Bacterial small subunit ribosomal RNA", at positions 524 to 776 of the family's 1533-position model. The record is from RNAcentral.
UACGUAGGGUGCGAGCGUUAAUCGGAAUUACUGGGCGUAAAGAGCGCGCAGGCGGCUGGUCAAGUCCGAUGUGAAAUCUCCCGGCUCAACUGGGAAACUGCAUCGGAAACUGAUCGGCUUGAAGAUGGGAGAGGGUAGUGGAAUUCUCGGUGUAGAGGUGAAAUUCGUAGAUAUCGAGAGGAACACCGGUGGCGAAGGCGGCCAACUGGACGAGUACUGACGCUGAGACACGAAAGCGUGGGGAGCAAACAGG